AGAAUCAACGCUGGCGGCGUGCCUAACACAUGCAAGUCGAACGAGAAAGUGGAGCAAUCCAUGAGUAAAGUGGCGACCGGGUGAGUAACACGUGACUAACCUACCUUUGAGUGGGGGAUAACAUCGGGAAACCGAUGCUAAUACCGCAUAACAUCGCAAGAUCAAAGCAGCAAUGCGCUUAAAGAGGGGGUCGCGGCUGAUUAGCUAGUUGGCGGGGUAACGGCCCACCAAGGCGAAGAUCGGUA
Molecule: ribosomal RNA, 245 nt
Filed under: uncultured bacterium
Lineage: Bacteria
Description: partial small subunit ribosomal RNA
Rfam family: Bacterial small subunit ribosomal RNA
Source: RNAcentral